GGAUGUCGCUCAGUGGUACAGCACUUGCCUAACAUGCGUGAGGCCCUGGGUUGGAUCCCCGGCACCA
Molecule: transfer RNA, 67 nt
Filed under: Marmota monax (woodchuck)
Lineage: Eukaryota; Metazoa; Chordata; Mammalia; Rodentia; Sciuridae
Description: tRNA.Val
Source: RNAcentral